Molecule: transfer RNA, 74 nt
Filed under: Acidobacteriota bacterium
Lineage: Bacteria; Pseudomonadati; Acidobacteriota
Also listed under: 1 other name
Description: Acidobacteria bacterium tRNA-Pro
Rfam family: tRNA
About the family: Transfer RNA (tRNA) molecules are approximately 80 nucleotides in length. Their secondary structure includes four short double-helical elements and three loops (D, anti-codon, and T loops).
Source: RNAcentral
CGGGGUGUAGCGCAGCCUGGUAGCGCGUUCGCUUUGGGAGCGAAAGGUCCUGAGUUCGAAUCUCAGCACCCCGA